Molecule: ribosomal RNA, 1582 nt
Filed under: Salmonella enterica subsp. enterica serovar Kiambu
Lineage: Bacteria; Pseudomonadati; Pseudomonadota; Gammaproteobacteria; Enterobacterales; Enterobacteriaceae
Description: partial 23S ribosomal RNA
Rfam family: Bacterial large subunit ribosomal RNA
Source: RNAcentral
GGUUAAGCGACUAAGCGUACACGGUGGAUGCCCUGGCAGUCAGAGGCGAUGAAGGACGUGCUAAUCUGCGAUAAGCGCCGGUAAGGUGAUAUGAACCGUUAUAACCGACGAUUUCCGAAUGGGGAAACCCAGUGUGACUCGUCACACUAUCAUUAACUGAAUCCAUAGGUUAAUGAGGCGAACCGGGGGAACUGAAACAUCUAAGUACCCCGAGGAAAAGAAAUCAACCGAGAUUCCCCCAGUAGCGGCGAGCGAACGGGGAGGAGCCCAGAGCCUGAAUCAGCAUGUGUGUUAGUGGAAGCGUCUGGAAAGGCGCGCGAUACAGGGUGACAGCCCCGUACACAAAAGCGCAUGUGCUGUGAGCUCGAUGAGUAGGGCGGGACACGUGGUAUCCUGUCUGAAUAUGGGGGGACCAUCCUCCAAGGCUAAAUACUCCUGACUGACCGAUAGUGAACCAGUACCGUGAGGGAAAGGCGAAAAGAACCCCGGCGAGGGGAGUGAAAAAGAACCUGAAACCGUGUACGUACAAGCAGUGGGAGCACCUUCGGGUGUGACUGCGUACCUUUUGUAUAAUGGGUCAGCGACUUAUAUUCUGUAGCAAGGUUAACCGAAUAGGGGAGCCGUAGGGAAACCGAGUCUUAACCGGGCGUUAAGUUGCAGGGUAUAGACCCGAAACCCGGUGAUCUAGCCAUGGGCAGGUUGAAGGUUGGGUAACACUAACUGGAGGACCGAACCGACUAAUGUUGAAAAAUUAGCGGAUGACCUGUGGCUGGGGGUGAAAGGCCAAUCAAACCGGGAGAUAGCUGGUUCUCCCCGAAAGCUAUUUAGGUAGCGCCUCGUGAAUUCAUCUCCGGGGGUAGAGCACUGUUUCGGCUAGGGGGCCAUCCCGGCUUACCAACCCGAUGCAAACUGCGAAUACCGGAGAAUGUUAUCACGGGAGACACACGGCGGGUGCUAACGUCCGUCGUGAAGAGGGAAACAACCCAGACCGCCAGCUAAGGUCCCAAAGUCAUGGUUAAGUGGGAAACGAUGUGGGAAGGCUCAGACAGCCAGGAUGUUGGCUUAGAAGCAGCCAUCAUUUAAAGAAAGCGUAAUAGCUCACUGGUCGAGUCGGCCUGCGCGGAAGAUGUAACGGGGCUAAACCAUGCACCGAAGCUGCGGCAGCGACACUGUGUGUUGUUGGGUAGGGGAGCGUUCUGUAAGCCUGUGAAGGUGUGCUGUGAGGCAUGCUGGAGGUAUCAGAAGUGCGAAUGCUGACAUAAGUAACGAUAAAGCGGGUGAAAAGCCCGCUCGCCGGAAGACCAAGGGUUCCUGUCCAACGUUAAUCGGGGCAGGGUGAGUCGACCCCUAAGGCGAGGCCGAAAGGCGUAGUCGAUGGGAAACGGGUUAAUAUUCCCGUACUUGGUGUUACUGCGAAGGGGGGACGGAGAAGGCUAUGUUGGCCGGGCGACGGUUGUCCCGGUUUAAGCGUGUAGGUGUGUGUUCCAGGUAAAUCCGGUUCACUUUAACACUGAGGCGUGAUGACGAGGCACUACGGUGCUGAAGCAACAAAUGCCCUGCUUCCAGGAAAAGCCUCUAAGCA